RNAcentral lists this ribosomal RNA (477 nucleotides) under uncultured anaerobic ammonium-oxidizing bacterium. RNAcentral's name for it is "bacterial SSU rRNA". It matches the Rfam family "Bacterial small subunit ribosomal RNA", at positions 365 to 832 of the family's 1533-position model. The record is from RNAcentral.
UUCGCAAUGCCCGAAAGGGUGACGAAGCGACGCCGCGUGUGGGAAGAAGGCCUUCGGGUUGUAAACCACUGUCGGGAGUUAAGAAAUGCAAGGAUAUUAAUAGUGUCUUUGUUUGACUAAGGCUCCGGAGGAAGCCACGGCUAACUCUGUGCCAGCAGCCGCGGUAAUACAGAGGCGGCAAGCGUUGUUCGGAAUUAUUGGGCGUAAAGAGCACGUAGGCGGCUAUGUAAGUCGGUUGUGAAAGCCUUCCGCUCAACGGAAGAACAGCAUCCGAUACUGCAUGGCUUGAGUGCAGGAGGGGAGAGUGGAACUCCUGGUGGAGCGGUGAAAUGCGUAGAUAUCAGAAGGAACGCCGGCGGCGAAAGCGGCUCUCUGGCCCAUAACUGACGCUGAGUGUGCGAAAGCUAGGGGAGCAAACGGGAUUAGAUACCCCGGUAGUCCUAGCCGUAAACGAUGGGCACUAAGUAGAGGGGUUUU